UGAACGCUGGCGGCAUGCCUUACACAUGCAAGUCGAACGGCAGCACGGGAGCAAUCCUGGUGGCGAGUGGCGAACGGGCGAGUAAUAUAUCGGAACGUGCCCAGUCGUGGGGAUAACGCAGCGAAAGCUGUGCUAAUACCGCAUACGAUCUACGGAUGAAAGCGGGGGAUCGCAAGACCUCGCGCGAUUGGAGCGGCCGAUAUCAGAUUAGCUAGUUGGUGAGGUAAAGGCUCACCAAGGCGACGAUCUGUAGCUGGUCUGAGAGGACGACCAGCCACACUGGAACUGAGACACGGUCCAGACUCCUACGGGAGGCAGCAGUGGGGAAUUUUGGACAAUGGGCGCAAGCCUGAUCCAGCAAUGCCGCGUGAGU
This 373-nucleotide ribosomal RNA is filed under the name uncultured bacterium. RNAcentral describes it as "bacterial SSU rRNA". It matches the Rfam family "Bacterial small subunit ribosomal RNA", at positions 30 to 406 of the family's 1533-position model. The record is from RNAcentral.